This 506-nucleotide ribosomal RNA is filed under the name uncultured bacterium. RNAcentral's name for it is "bacterial SSU rRNA". It matches the Rfam family "Bacterial small subunit ribosomal RNA", at positions 29 to 518 of the family's 1533-position model. The record is from RNAcentral.
AUGAACGCUGGCGGCGUGCCUAACACAUGCAAGUCGAACGGAGAUUAGACGCUGCAGAGAUUUCGGUCAAAGCUUGUUUAAUCUUAGUGGCGGACGGGUGAGUAACGCGUGGGCAACCUGCCUCAUACUGGGGGAUAGCAGUUGGAAACGACUGAUAAUACCGCAUAAGCGCACGGUACCGCAUGGUACAGUGUGAAAAACUCCGGUGGUAUGAGAUGGGCCCGCGUCAGAUUAGCUAGUUGGUGAGGUAACGGCCCACCAAGGCGACGAUCUGUAGCCGGCCUGAGAGGGCGGACGGCCACAUUGGGACUGAGACACGGCCCAAACUCCUACGGGAGGCAGCAGUGGGGGAUAUUGCACAAUGGAGGAAACUCUGAUGCAGCGACGCCGCGUGAAGUGAAGAAGUAUUUCGGUAUGUAAAGCUCUAUCAGCAGGGAAGAAAGGCUCGAAAGAGAGAUGACGGUACCUGACUAAGAAGCCCCGGCUAACUACGUGCCAGCCGCAGC